Molecule: unclassified non-coding RNA, 223 nt
Filed under: Hevea brasiliensis (rubber tree)
Lineage: Eukaryota; Viridiplantae; Streptophyta; Magnoliopsida; Malpighiales; Euphorbiaceae
Source: RNAcentral
GGAAAAAACAAGAACCAACACUAAGUAGCUCCAGGAAGUCACCUUACCAUUAAUUUAGGAUUUGCAACCCAACAAAACCCAAACAAUAUAACUUAUUUACACGUGACUUAGUGGAGGGAAGAGUGAAAAACCAUGACUAAGCCAGAAGAGAGCUCCCCCUGUAGAGACAGGGGAAGUUUUGUUGUAAACAAAGAAAAUGAGACCAAGCUCCUAGGAAAGAAAC